CCGCGGACGGACGGACGGAGGGACGGACGGACGGAGGGACGGACAGACGGCCCGCUGCCGCUCGGGCCCGGCCGAAGCGCUCCCCUCUGCUCGGAGGCCCGGGAGCGCGUUGCAGCGGGCGUUGGCGAAAGCAUCUGGUUGUCCCCUGCCCCCCUCUCGCCCCACACAGGGCCCGGGGACGCCGAGGCGGACACAGACCGCUGUACCCCCCCCCCGGGUGAUGGAGGGGGAGCGGAGCCCACCGGCUCGGGGUACCCACCGUCCCCCUGCGGUGGGGCGGGCGGCACUGAUUUACCGGCGGGGCUCCCUGCCUGCCCGCCCACGGCACACGCAAAUCCCCCGAAACCCCGCUCCGGAGUAGGGGGGGGACCGUGGGGUGCCCUAGGUCCGCCUUCUCCCCCCCCCGGGGGACCCCGACUCAGCGCAGGCGUUCGAGAGGUGAAAAUGCCAGCGCUGUCUCCAGCUGGCUCCGAAAAGAAAAACUCACCAACCCCGGCCUCCCACGGGCCUCCUCUGCCCCGCGGGACCGGCGUGGGGCACCCACGGGCCGGGGAGUCCGCGGAGCCCGAGGAGGGGGGGGAAUCCUCUCCACACCCCCGGGCCACGGGCACGGAUGGCACGGUAGCCCCCGGCCUGCCGCCGCCCCCCCCUCCUAGGGCAGUGCAUCUGGGUUGGGGGGGCUGGUUGUUGUUGUUUUUCAUUGUAUUUUGCAAUUCGCCCAGGUCCGUUCCCGGCUGGGCCCUUUGCCGGGGCCAAGCCCCCAAUCCCGGAGAGAGCCGGCCGGGGUGUUUCAAAGAGGGAAAUUAAAAGGGUAAAAAAAAAGAAAAAAACCUCAGAUUUUAAAAAAAAUCUAAUACAGAAGAAAAAAAAAAGUCCCUUUCAGGCGAGUUUGAAUUUGCGUUUUCUCGGUGUCGUUCCCGUCUUUUUAGUUAAACAUCCCCCUGUUUAUCAUCAGCCUUUCUACACCGCUGCGCUCCGUAAUGGGAUUUUACCCUCCUUUACUGGGCACUAGUGCUGUACAAACACCGCAGCCCUCUCGUCCCGGACUCUGCUGGCAAAGCUCCGGGGACCCCCCCUCUUCCCCCCCCCCGCCAUCCCCGAGCGAAGCCGAAGAAGAAACUUCCCUCCCACCCGGGUCCAGACACUUUCUCUGCCGUGAGCAUCCUCGACGGGGCGGGGGGGGGGGGGGGGGAAGGCAGCCUAGACCCCUCCUCAUCCCGGGCAGCGUUGCAAGGGGGGGGAACACACACACUUCCCCCCCCCCAACUUUUCCCCCCUCGGAAGAGCGCCUGCGCCUGAUUAAAUAUAUAUGCGGUUAAUGCACUCAACAAAUAUUGAAGUUACGAUGUAAUUAAGCCUGGAGAACAUCCCCGCGCAAUAAACCCGUUGCUGGACGGGAUCCAUCGCUGCGCGCCGCGCCAGGUUUGUGGGGGAGAGAAAAAAAAAAUUAAAAAAAUCUUUAAAUUAUGUAUUAGAGGGUCCCAGUUUAUUCUGCCGCACUCGGGUCGAUGCUGAGGGUAAAUACGCCCGCUCCGUCCCCGUCCCGUCCCCCCCCCGGCUCCGCUCGCCUUUCCCCUUUCUUAUGUAUUUUUGUGCCCCCCUCCCCUUUGCUGAGCCCUCCCGGGUUUCCUUCCACGUCGCUAAAUGUUGUCGCUUACACUCCAAGCUCAUGCAUUGUUUAUGGAAAAUAUAGUUAAUAAAUAAUUACAAAUCCG
This is a long non-coding RNA of Aquila chrysaetos chrysaetos, 1715 nucleotides long. The record is from Ensembl. NCBI's taxonomy places the organism in Eukaryota, Metazoa, Chordata, Aves, Accipitriformes, Accipitridae.